AUAUCUUUCUCGGUCUUUUGGCUAAAACAAAGUGUAAUAUUUAUUCUUAUCAAUUUAAUAUCUGGUCUAUAAACAAUAUGUUCACUUUGAUAUUAAAUCUAUAUAUUAUUGAUAAUUUUUGGGGAGGGUCCAUAUGACUGGUUUAUUUCGCUUAACCAUUGAUUGUAUUGUGGGUACGGCCUCAUCAUCCCAACCAAUAUCAU
Non-coding RNA from Zea mays, 203 nucleotides. The record is from Rfam. NCBI's taxonomy places the organism in Eukaryota, Viridiplantae, Streptophyta, Magnoliopsida, Poales, Poaceae.